Molecule: ribosomal RNA, 207 nt
Filed under: uncultured delta proteobacterium
Lineage: Bacteria; Deltaproteobacteria
Description: partial 16S ribosomal RNA
Rfam family: Bacterial small subunit ribosomal RNA
Source: RNAcentral
CGUGUAGGCGGUUUGUUAAGUCUGAUGUGAAAGCCCUGGGCUCAACCUGGGAAGUGCAUUGGAAACUGGCAGACUUGAAUACGGGAGAGGGUAGUGGAAUUCCUGGUGUAGGAGUGAAAUCCGUAGAUAUCAGGAGGAACACCGGUGGCGAAGGCGGCUGCCUGGACCGAUAUUGACGCUGAGACGCGAAAGCGUGGGUAGCAAACA